UACGAAGGGGGCUAGCGUUGUUCGGAAUUACUGGACGUAAAGCGCACGUAGGCGGGUUUGUAAGUAGGGGGUGAAAUCCCAGGGCUCAACCCUGGAAUUGCCUUCUAGACUGCAAGCCUGGAGGUCAGGAGAGGCGAGCGGAAUUCCGAGUGUAGAGGUGAAAUUCGUAGAUAUUCGGAGGAACACCAGUGGCGAAGGCGGCUCGCUGGACUGAUACUGACGCUGAGGUGCGAAAGCGUGGGGAGCAAACAGG
Molecule: ribosomal RNA, 253 nt
Filed under: uncultured bacterium
Lineage: Bacteria
Description: partial 16S ribosomal RNA
Rfam family: Bacterial small subunit ribosomal RNA
Source: RNAcentral